UACAGAGGGUGCAAGCGUUGUUCGGAAUUAUUGGGCGUAAAGGGCGCGUAGGCGGUGCGGUAAGUCUGUAGUGAAAUCCCUGGGCUCAACUCAGAGUCUGCUGCAGAAACUGCCGUGCUUGAGUGUGGGAGAGGUGAGUGGAAUUCCCGGUGUAGCGGUGAAAAUGCGUAGAUAUCGGGAGGAACACCUGUGGCGAAAGCGGCUCACUGGACCACAACUGACGCUGAGGCGCGAAAGCUAGGGGAGCAAACAGG
Molecule: ribosomal RNA, 254 nt
Filed under: uncultured bacterium
Lineage: Bacteria
Description: partial 16S ribosomal RNA
Rfam family: Bacterial small subunit ribosomal RNA
Source: RNAcentral